CAAUAGCGUAUAUUAAAGUUGUUGCAGUUAAAAAGACUCGUAGUUGGACUUCUGAUGCGAAAGGUUGGUCCACCGCAAGGUGAGCACUGACUCUUCGCGUCUUCCUCUCGUAGUUGUUUGGCGCACUUAGUUGGGUGCCAGAUGAAUAUGGGACCUUUACUUUGAAAAAUUAGAGUGUUCAAAGCAGGCAAUCGCUUGAAUACAUUAGCAUGGAAUAAUAGAAUAGGACUUUGGUUCUAUUUUGUUGGUUUCUAGGACCGAGGUAAUGAUUAAUAGGGACAGUUGGGGGCAUUAGUAUUUAAUUGUCAGAGGUGAAAUUCUUUGAUCCGCUGAAGACUAACUUAUGCGAAAGCAUUCACCAAGGAUGUCUUCUUUAAAUCAAGAACGAAAGUUGGGGG
RNAcentral lists this ribosomal RNA (398 nucleotides) under uncultured eukaryote. Its description in RNAcentral is "bacterial SSU rRNA". It matches the Rfam family "Eukaryotic small subunit ribosomal RNA", at positions 592 to 996 of the family's 1831-position model. The record is from RNAcentral.